GUUGGGUAGGGGAGCGUUCUGUAAGCCUGCGAAGGUGUACUGUGAGGUAUGCUGGAGGUAUCAGAAGUGCGAAUGCUGACAUAAGUAACGAUAAUGCGGGUGAAAAACCCGCACGCCGGAAGACCAAGGGUUCCUGUCCAACGUUAAUCGGGGCAGGGUGAGUCGACCCCUAAGGCGAGGCUGAAAAGCGUAGUCGAUGGGAAACGGGUUAAUAUUCCCGUACUGGUGGUAACUGCGAUGGGGGAACGGAGAAGGCUAGGUUGUCCGGGCGACGGUCGUCCCGGUUCAAGCAUGUAGGCAGAGUGAUUAGGCAAAUCCGGUCACUUAAUGCUGAGGUGUGAUGACGAACCACUAAGGUGGUGAAGCAAUUGAUGCCCUGCUUCCAGGAAAAGCCUCUAAGCUUCAGGUUACCAACAAUCGUACCCCAAACCGACACAGGUGGUCAGGUAGAGAAUACUCAGGCGCUUGAGAGAACUCGGGUGAAGGAACUAGGCAAAAUGGUGCCGUAACUUCGGGAGAAGGCACGCUGGCGGUAAGUGAAGUCCCUUGCGGACGGAGCCGAAGCCAGUCGAAGAUACCAGCUGGCUGCAACUGUUUAUUAAAAACACAGCACUGUGCAAACACGAAAGUGGACGUAUACGGUGUGACGCCUGCCCGGUGCUGGAAGGUUAAUUGAUGGGGUUAUCCUUAGGGAGAAGCUCUUGAUCGAAGCCCCAGUAAACGGCGGCCGUAACUAUAACGGUCCUAAGGUAGCGAAAUUCCUUGUCGGGUAAGUUCCGACCUGCACGAAUGGCGUAAUGAUGGCCAGGCUGUCUCCACCCGAGACUCAGUGAAAUUGAACUCGCUGUGAAGAUGCAGUGUACCCGCGGCAAGACGGAAAGACCCCGUGAACCUUUACUAUAGCUUGACACUGAACAUUGAGCCUUGAUGUGUAGGAUAGGUGGGAGACUAUGAAGUGUGGACGCCAGUCUGCAUGGAGUCAACCUUGAAAUACCACCCUUUAACGUUUGAUGUUCUAACCUAGGUCCAUAAUCUGGAUCGGGGACCGUGUCUGGUGGGUAGUUUGACUGGGGCGGUCUCCUCCUAAAGAGUAACGGAGGAGCACGAAGGUUGGCUAAGCAUGGUCGGACAUCAUGCGGUUAGUGCAAAGGCAUAAGCCAGCUUGACUGUGAGAGUGACGGCUCGAGCAGGUACGAAAGUAGGUCUUAGUGAUCCGGUGGUUCUGAAUGGAAGGGCCAUCGCUCAACGGAUAAAAGGUACUCCGGGGAUAACAGGCUGAUACCGCCCAAGAGUUCAUAUCGACGGCGGUGUUUGGCACCUCGAUGUCGGCUCAUCACAUCCUGGGGCUGAAGUAGGUCCCAAGGGUAUGGCUGUUCGCCAUUUAAAGUGGUACGCGAGCUGGGUUUAGAACGUCGUGAGACAGUUCGGUCCCUAUCUGCCGUGGGCGUUGGAAGAUUGAGAGGGGUUGCUCCUAGUACGAGAGGACCGGAGUGAACGCACCACUGGUGUUCGGGUUGUCAUGCCAAUGGCAUUGCCCGGUAGCUAAGUGCGGAAGAGAUAACCGCUGAAAGCAUCUAAGCGGGAAACUUGCCUCGAGAUGAGUCUUCCCUGUCACCUAGAGUGACCUAAAGGAACGUUUAAGACUAAGACGUUGAUAGGCUGGGUGUGUAAGCGUAGCGAUACGUUGAGCUAACCAGUACUAAUGAACCGUGAGGCUUAACCUG
Molecule: ribosomal RNA, 1724 nt
Filed under: Proteus terrae subsp. cibarius
Lineage: Bacteria; Pseudomonadati; Pseudomonadota; Gammaproteobacteria; Enterobacterales; Morganellaceae
Also listed under: 1 other name
Description: partial 23S ribosomal RNA
Rfam family: Bacterial large subunit ribosomal RNA
Source: RNAcentral